GGAGAUGGAGGAUAGAAUAAUCGAGUUGGAAGCAAUGCAGAAGGUUUUGCUGGAGGGAACAGAAGCAUAUGACAAAAUGGAAACUGACCUUGUGUUAGCGACACAAAGGCUUAAGAAAAUACUUCAGUCGGUGGAUAAGAAGACAACGUUGCUAGAGAUGGCUGAAAGAAAUGAACUCACCAGAUCUGUACUAACCCUUCUUGAUGAAAAUAUAACAAGCGCAAUAAACACUAAUCAGAAGGAAGCAGCAGCUUUCAUGGAAAGUGUCCGUGCGACGAUGUUAAAAUAUAUCACGGUAUAGGUCAACAACAAAAAAUGUAUUCCGCCUGUUGAGCAACGGAUUUUCUUGUGAGUUCAGCUUGAUACUCUUAAUUUCUUUUGGGUUUAGUAUA
This 392-nucleotide unclassified non-coding RNA is filed under the name Hevea brasiliensis (rubber tree). Lineage: Eukaryota; Viridiplantae; Streptophyta; Magnoliopsida; Malpighiales; Euphorbiaceae. The record is from RNAcentral.